CGUAGGGUGCGAGCGUUAAUCGGAAUUACUGGGCGUAAAGCGUGCGCAGGCGGUUUUGUAAGACAGAUGUGAAAUCCCCGGGCUCAACCUGGGACCUGCAUUUGUGACUGCAAGGCUAGAGUACGGUAGAGGGGGAUGGAAUUCCGCGUGUAGCAGUGAAAUGCGUAGAUAUGCGGAGGAACACCGAUGGCGAAGGCAAUCCCCUGGACCUGUACUGACGCUCAUGCACGAAAGCGUGGGGAGCAAACAGGAUUAGAUACCCUGGUAGUCCACGCCCUAAACGAUGUCAACUGGUUGUUGGGUCUUUACUGACUCAGUAACGAAGCUAACGCGUGAAGUUGACCGCCUGGGGAGCACGGCCGCAAGGUUG
Molecule: ribosomal RNA, 370 nt
Filed under: uncultured organism
Description: bacterial SSU rRNA
Rfam family: Bacterial small subunit ribosomal RNA
Source: RNAcentral